GCACACUAUGUAACUAAUAUUAUUUAAGAUGAAAAUAGAUCUAGUUGAGCGACAAAGGCUGUUUAGAGCCUCUUGUUUACUUUCAUGCUGUUUCAUAAUUUGAGCUGUUCCUCAAUUUAAGAAGGCAUGUCGAUGGAUUUGAUGCAUCAAACAUAAUCCAACUUUACUGAACACUUUUCUUUUUUUAAAACGUCCUUAUAACAGCAGUCGUUAAUGUUCUGGUGUAUUUAGAGAGCAAUGGCCUAGUAAGAAAACAGUGGUUUGUCUUUGCUAAUAGUUAUCAAAGGUACCAGGCUUACAGUUUAAUAUGCUAGACGCACGUUUCGUCUUCAUAAGACUCAUCAGUGACGCUCAUAUCAAAAUAGUUAUAGAGCCAAACAAGUACAAAGUUGAAUUGUGUGCAAAUGUGCUAUCUGCGUUUUUUAUGAUCUACUUAGAAAUUUUUCUUUUAGGUCUUUUUUUGGGGAAUAUGACCGAAUGGUAAAUGUCAAUGUAAUCCACAACAACACCAAAAUUGACUUCUGAUCAGCACAUGGAAGGUCGCUCGAUUUAUUUUCUCGCAUUUCCCUACGGCUAAGUUUUGACCAACAGGGGAUAAAUAGUAAGCUAUUGUCCCGUUUUUAACUCACGAAAUACACCAAGUCUUCAGCGGCGACACAAAGUCUAAGUCACUUUCAAAAAUGGGUAAAAUCAUAAUUUCACGUAAUUUUGUACAAUUCCAAUGAGCAAAUUUUUUUCCCGGUUUUGUGAAAAUUGUCCUUAUCUUAAAUUAGAUUGAAUUUUAGGGUGGAACAUUUAAACUGAGAUGAAGUUUAAAAUACAUUGAAAUGAAAGCUAUUUAUAAUCUCAUAUCUAAC
RNAcentral lists this long non-coding RNA (857 nucleotides) under Mytilus galloprovincialis (Mediterranean mussel). The record is from RNAcentral. Lineage: Eukaryota; Metazoa; Mollusca; Bivalvia; Mytilida; Mytilidae.